This is a non-coding RNA of Peromyscus maniculatus bairdii (prairie deer mouse), 2002 nucleotides long. NCBI's taxonomy places the organism in Eukaryota, Metazoa, Chordata, Mammalia, Rodentia, Cricetidae. The record is from RefSeq and is a predicted model, not a curated record.
GGGCGUAAGGGAUGUAGGUUUGUCCCAAUUAUUUGUUCCACAAAUCCUAUGUGUCAAACACUUUUUUGUCACUGAAAAUUAAGUCCUGAACAGGGUGAAGAUGGAAUAUUCAGCCUUAUAGGGAAAGGUAAACCCGGGGAUGAGGGUGGAUUAUGUCAGGGAGCAAUAACUAAAGCCUGAAAUAGGUUACAGAGACUCAGAAAUCACAAGCACACAAUUACAAAAGCACAUAUUUUUCUCCUCUCUUUUGGUGUGUGUCCCUGAUGCCUUCUAAAUCGCACCCAUUGCCCACAGUUGUCUUCUACUGCAGAAGCCACAGCGGCCUUCUUGGGUUUUAAAGCUUGGCCUCUCAUCUCAGGCAUGUCUACUCAUCUUCCCAAAGUGAUAGUCAUGCCUGAGUGGUCGCUGUGUAGUCCACCUGUACUUCUGGACCCAGAUACGAGGCUGAGAAGCUUCUAAUGACUGUAUUCUGAAUCGGGGGACACCAACUGGGGGACAGAGAGCGGUGACCAACUGCCCUCUGCACAGGCUCCUUGUCAGCCUCCUGGGAGAGCUCGUCCGACGCUCGCUGGGCGAGGACUACAUAUCCCAGUUGCCAUUGCGGAGUACCGCACGACCACCUCCGGUAGAGACCGGAAGUCAGUGACGCUUCAACUCUAUCAGAGUCUCAGGUGGAAUUCGUGGUGGGUGUGGGGUGGCAGUGAGAUGUGAUCUGAGAAGGCUGCCGAGAGUGGGGUUCAGUCCUUCCACAAAUGAAGAACCAGGAAGAAGUGAAAGACAUAGGAAGAAAUCAAGUCGCUUAAAGCCGUGUCCCUGGGCUUAGUGAUUUUCACAAGUGUGGCCAUAAACUCCCAAGAUGAGUGAGGAUGGCCGAAUCUUGCCCAGAGGAGUUUGUACAGGAAGGUGAUACUGGACAACUACAGGAACCUGGUUGCAGUGGGUCUCUGCAUUUUUAAACCAGAUGUCAUCCUGUUACUGUAUCGAGAGGGAGCCGUGGACAUAAAAGGAGAGGCAUCCAUCCAGAGGUCCGGGCCCAGCAGAGAAUCGAUCCUGGGGAGAAACCCUAUGAAUGUAUUGAACGUGGGAGAGCUUCAGCCAGAGCACCCAUCUCGCUCAGCAUCAGAGAAUACACCCAGGAGGAAAACCCUUUGCAUGUGCUGGCUGUGGGAAGGCGAACACAGUGCUACCAAGGUCAGCUGUAUGGAGGUACAGGGUACAGGAGGACUUAUAAACUCCUCAUAAUCAGAGCUCUGGUUGCCAUGCAGAAGAUGUUAGGACAAGCCAUGCACAUUGGAAAUUUGGUUGGAGAAGAAAUGAGAGGGAGAAGAUUCUAAGCCCGAGGAGUAGCUCUGAGCAAGUUCUGUUUGGCCCUUCGAUCCUUCCAAUUCCUCCUGGAAGUGAGAAAAUAUUGACACUCAACAGUUUGAUGGGUUAGUCAGCAAAAGAAAAUGCUUCAAGGGAUGGUAUGAUGGCUCAGCAGAUAAAGACACUUGCUGCCAAUCCUGAUGACUUGAGUUCAAUCCCUGGGACGCACAUAGUGGAAGAAGAGAGCCAACCCUCUCAAGCUGUCCUCUGACCUCCGCAAUAUAAGUUAAAGGCAUUUAAAAGUGUUAAUGCUGCACCACAAGUGGGUUCUGCUCUCUGGGGCAUUUUAGGACAGGUUCCUUACAUCUUUGCUGCUGGACCACUCCUCAGGGACAUUCCUGGUGACCAAAUCCUUGUUUAUUCAGGCAUGUAGUCAUCCACUCAUCAGUUUUCAGCUUGUGGGUGGAUUUCAUUCCAGUGACUUGUCCUUAAAAAGCCUGCACAAUUUAAAACCAACGUAAUUCAAGACUAAUUCUGACAGAAAAUAGUAUGCCUGUUCUUCAUCAAAAGCAGUACAAAAGAUAACAAAGGAACUUAAAAAAAUAGUAUGGGUUACAUUUUAAAGUAUAGCUGCCUGAAGCAUUUUUAAAUUGCCAACUUUUAUCAUUAAAAAAUACCACUCAAAUGUUCAUAGUAA